This 406-nucleotide ribosomal RNA is filed under the name uncultured bacterium. Its description in RNAcentral is "partial 16S ribosomal RNA". It matches the Rfam family "Bacterial small subunit ribosomal RNA", at positions 30 to 526 of the family's 1533-position model. The record is from RNAcentral.
AUUGAACGCUGGCGGCAGGCCUAACACAUGCAAGUCGAACGAUUGGCGGACGGGUGAGUAAUGUCUGGGAAACUGCCAGAUGGAGGGGGCUAACUACUGGAACCGGUAGCUAAUACCGCAUACCAUCGGAUGUGCCCAGAUGGGAGUAGCUAGUAGGUGGGGUAACGGCUCACCUAGGCGACGAUCCCUAGCUGGUCUGAGAGGAUGACCAGCCACACUGUAACAGAGACACGGUCCAGACUCCUACGGGAGUCAGCAUUGGGGAAUAUGGCACAAUGGGCGCAAGCCUGAUGCAGCCAUGCCGCGUGAAUGAAGAAGGCCUGCGGGUUUUAAAGUACUUUCAGCGAGGAGGCGUUACUCGCAUAUGAAGCAUCGGCUAACUCCGUGCCAGCCGCCGCGGUAAUAC